UAUNGCACAAUGGAGGAAACCCUGAUGCAGGNACGCCGCGUGAGGGAAGACGGUCUUCGGUUUGUAAAUCUCUGUCUUUGGGGAAGAAAAUGACGGUACCCAAAGAGGAAGCCCCGGCUAACUACGUGCCAGCAGCCGCGGUAAUACGUAGGGAGCGAGCGUUGUCCGGAAUUACUGGGUGUAAAGGGAGCGUAGGCGGGUGAGAAAGUUGAAUGUUAAAUCUACCGGCUUAACUGGUAGCUGCGUUCAAAACUUCUUGUCUUGAGUGAAGUAGAGGCAGGCGGAAUUCCUAGUGUAGCGGUGAAAUGCGUAGAUAUUAGGAGGAACACCAGUGGCGAAGGCGGCCUGCUGGGCUUUAACUGACGCUGAGGCUCGAAAGCGUGGGGAGCAAACAGG
Molecule: ribosomal RNA, 396 nt
Filed under: uncultured bacterium
Lineage: Bacteria
Description: bacterial SSU rRNA
Rfam family: Bacterial small subunit ribosomal RNA
Source: RNAcentral